This is a long non-coding RNA of Bos taurus (domestic cattle), 355 nucleotides long. The record is from Ensembl. Lineage: Eukaryota; Metazoa; Chordata; Mammalia; Artiodactyla; Bovidae.
CUUCUCUCUGGGACCAAUUUCCAGACUGCACAGCAGUCCUGACAAGGUCAACAAGCUGGAGCGGUUUGGAAAAACACCAGAUUCUUUAACCUGGUAUUUCGUGCCCAGCAUCAUGACCUCUCUGGUGAUCCAGUGGUUAAGAAUAUGCCUUCCAAUGCAGGAGAUACGGUCCAGAUCUCUGAUCGGGAAACUAAGAUCCCACGUGCCUAGCAGCAACUAAGCCCAUACACCACAACUACUGAGCCCGUGUGCCGAAAGCCUGUGCUCCGCAACAAGAGAAGAGUAGCCCGCACGCGGCAACUAGAGAAGGCCUGCAAGCACAUAGCAGUGAAGACCCAGAGCAGCCAAAAAUGAC